GAGCGGUGGCCGAGUGGUCGAAGGCGCUCGCCUGGAAAGUGAGUAUACGCCAAAAGCGUAUCGAGGGUUCGAAUCCCUCCCGCUCC
This 86-nucleotide transfer RNA is filed under the name Sphingomonas aquatilis. It matches the Rfam family "tRNA". From Rfam's summary of the family: Transfer RNA (tRNA) molecules are approximately 80 nucleotides in length. RNAcentral also lists the same sequence under 1 other name. The record is from RNAcentral. Lineage: Bacteria; Pseudomonadati; Pseudomonadota; Alphaproteobacteria; Sphingomonadales; Sphingomonadaceae.